GGUUAAGCGACUAAGCGUACACGGUGGAUGCCCUGGCAGUCAGAGGCGAUGAAGGGCGUGCUAAUCUGCGAUAAGCGCCGGUAAGGUGAUAUGAACCGUUAUAACCGGCGAUACCCGAAUGGGGAAACCCAGUGUGACUCGUCACACUAUCAUUAACUGAAUCCAUAGGUUAAUGAGGCGAACCGGGGGAACUGAAACAUCUAAGUACCCCGAGGAAAAGAAAUCAACCGAGAUUCCCCCAGUAGCGGCGAGCGAACGGGGAGGAGCCCAGAGCCUGAAUCAGCAUGUGUGUUAGUGGAAGCGUCUGGAAAGGCGCGCGAUACAGGGUGACAGCCCCGUACACAAAAGCGCAUGUGCUGUGAGCUCGAUGAGUAGGGCGGGACACGUGGUAUCCUGUCUGAAUAUGGGGGGACCAUCCUCCAAGGCUAAAUACUCCUGACUGACCGAUAGUGAACCAGUACCGUGAGGGAAAGGCGAAAAGAACCCCGGCGAGGGGAGUGAAAAAGAACCUGAAACCGUGUACGUACAAGCAGUGGGAGCACAGGUUUACCUGUGUGACUGCGUACCUUUUGUAUAAUGGGUCAGCGACUUAUAUUCUGUAGCAAGGUUAACCGUAUAGGGGAGCCGGAGGGAAACCGAGUCUUAACCGGGCGUUAAGUUGCAGGGUAUAGACCCGAAACCCGGUGAUCUAGCCAUGGGCAGGUUGAAGGUUGGGUAACACUAACUGGAGGACCGAACCGACUAAUGUUGAAAAAUUAGCGGAUGACCUGUGGCUGGGGGUGAAAGGCCAAUCAAACCGGGAGAUAGCUGGUUCUCCCCGAAAGCUAUUUAGGUAGCGCCUCGUGAAUUCAUCUCCGGGGGUAGAGCACUGUUUCGGCUAGGGGGCCAUCCCGGCUUACCAACCCGAUGCAAACUGCGAAUACCGGAGAAUGUUAUCACGGGAGACACACGGCGGGUGCUAACGUCCGUCGUGAAGAGGGAAACAACCCAGACCGCCAGCUAAGGUCCCAAAGUCAUGGUUAAGUGGGAAACGAUGUGGGAAGGCCCAGACAGCCAGGAUGUUGGCUUAGAAGCAGCCAUCAUUUAAAGAAAGCGUAAUAGCUCACUGGUCGAGUCGGCCUGCGCGGAAGAUGUAACGGGGCUAAACCAUGCACCGAAGCUGCGGCAGCGAACGUAUCACUUAAAGCGAUUCAGCGGAUGACGAUUGACGGAGCGAAGCGACGUCAAAGCGUAUACAAAGUCGAGUCGGUUUAAGGAUACGUUCGUUGGGUAGGGGAGCGUUCUGUAAGCCUGCGAAGGUGGCCUGUGAGGGUUGCUGGAGGUAUCAGAAGUGCGAAUGCUGACAUAAGUAACGAUAAAGCGGGUGAAAAGCCCGCUCGCCGGAAGACCAAGGGUUCCUGUCCAACGUUAAUCGGGGCAGGGUGAGUCGACCCCUAAGGCGAGGCCGAAAGGCGUAGUCGAUGGGAAACGGGUUAAUAUUCCCGUACUUGGUGUUACUGCGAAGGGGGGACGGAGAAGGCUAUGUUGGCCGGGCGACGGUUGUCCCGGUUUAAGCGUGUAGGUGUGUGUUCCAGGUAAAUCCGGUUCACUUUAACACUGAGGCGUGACGACGAGGCACUACGGUGCUGAAGCAACAAAUGCCCUGCUUCCAGGAAAAGCCUCUAAGCAUCAGGUAACAUCAAAUCGUACCCCAAACCGACACAGGUGGUCAGGUAGAGAAUACCAAGGCGCUUGAGAGAACUCGGGUGAAGGAACUAGGCAAAAUGGUGCCGUAACUUCGGGAGAAGGCACGCUGACAUGUAGGUGAAGUGAUUUACUCAUGGAGCUGAAGUCAGUCGAAGAUACCAGCUGGCUGCAACUGUUUAUUAAAAACACAGCACUGUGCAAACACGAAAGUGGACGUAUACGGUGUGACGCCUGCCCGGUGCCGGAAGGUUAAUUGAUGGGGUCAGCGCAAGCGAAGCUCCUGAUCGAAGCCCCGGUAAACGGCGGCCGUAACUAUAACGGUCCUAAGGUAGCGAAAUUCCUUGUCGGGUAAGUUCCGACCUGCACGAAUGGCGUAAUGAUGGCCAGGCUGUCUCCACCCGAGACUCAGUGAAAUUGAACUCGCUGUGAAGAUGCAGUGUACCCGCGGCAAGACGGAAAGACCCCGUGAACCUUUACUAUAGCUUGACACUGAACAUUGAGCCUUGAUGUGUAGGAUAGGUGGGAGGCUUUGAAGUGUGGACGCCAGUCUGCAUGGAGCCGACCUUGAAAUACCACCCUUUAAUGUUUGAUGUUCUAACGUGGACCCGUAAUCCGGGUUGCGGACAGUGUCUGGUGGGUAGUUUGACUGGGGCGGUCUCCUCCUAAAGAGUAACGGAGGAGCACGAAGGUUGGCUAAUCCUGGUCGGACAUCAGGAGGUUAGUGCAAUGGCAUAAGCCAGCUUGACUGCGAGCGUGACGGCGCGAGCAGGUGCGAAAGCAGGUCAUAGUGAUCCGGUGGUUCUGAAUGGAAGGGCCAUCGCUCAACGGAUAAAAGGUACUCCGGGGAUAACAGGCUGAUACCGCCCAAGAGUUCAUAUCGACGGCGGUGUUUGGCACCUCGAUGUCGGCUCAUCACAUCCUGGGGCUGAAGUAGGUCCCAAGGGUAUGGCUGUUCGCCAUUUAAAGUGGUACGCGAGCUGGGUUUAGAACGUCGUGAGACAGUUCGGUCCCUAUCUGCCGUGGGCGCUGGAGAACUGAGGGGGGCUGCUCCUAGUACGAGAGGACCGGAGUGGACGCAUCACUGGUGUUCGGGUUGUCAUGCCAAUGGCACUGCCCGGUAGCUAAAUGCGGAAGAGAUAAGUGCUGAAAGCAUCUAAGCACGAAACUUGCCCCGAGAUGAGUUCUCCCUGAGACUUAGAGUCUCCUGAAGGAACGUUGAAGACGACGACGUUGAUAGGCCGGGUGUGUAAGCGCAGCGAUGCGUUGAGCUAACCGGUACUAAUGAACCGUGAGGCUUAACCUU
Molecule: ribosomal RNA, 2989 nt
Filed under: Salmonella enterica
Lineage: Bacteria; Pseudomonadati; Pseudomonadota; Gammaproteobacteria; Enterobacterales; Enterobacteriaceae
Also listed under: 3 other names
Description: 23S ribosomal RNA
Rfam family: Bacterial large subunit ribosomal RNA
Source: RNAcentral